Molecule: small RNA, 376 nt
Filed under: Vigna angularis var. angularis
Lineage: Eukaryota; Viridiplantae; Streptophyta; Magnoliopsida; Fabales; Fabaceae
Description: Non-protein coding transcript
Source: RNAcentral
GAAAUUUCUAAGUGUGCUAAGUGUGGAGGUUGUCUUGGCCUGUGAAAGAAGAGAGGGAUUCCAAGAAACUAGAGUUCUACCAAGGUUGUGGAAGAGAUCAAGUUAAAGUGUUCAAGGCAAAAGGUUCCUCGUUACUCACCCUGAAAUGUUGUGGUUGUGGUUUCCACCUACGAUGAUCGUACUUGUACGGGAGUAGAUGGCGUUGCAGAUGAGGCAGAGAUGAAGUAGCACGACGAGAGUUAUGGGAAUGACUAUGGGGGACUUAUCAUGUUUUAAGUAAUUUUAUGUUUUUGAAUAUUGAAUUUGAUAUUUGUAAGGUUUUAACUUUAUGUUGUAAGAUGCUUAAGCUUUAUGUUGUAAGACGCUUAAACUUUUG